This is a long non-coding RNA of Silurus meridionalis, 943 nucleotides long. RefSeq lists it as uncharacterized. NCBI's taxonomy places the organism in Eukaryota, Metazoa, Chordata, Actinopteri, Siluriformes, Siluridae. The record is from RefSeq and is a predicted model, not a curated record. The transcript has 3 exons.
AAAUCGGAAUUAUCUGCUGUGAUAAGACAAAAAUUUUAUUUUCUGGCUUAACGUUUAGCAAAACCAGUCUACUUCUAAGAUACUGGCAACAACCAUAACUAUAGUGAAGCAUGCAAUGCAAAGAUGCCACGCAAAUCUCUCUAGACUGCACACAACUUCAGAUAGUAUAAGCUUCACCUUUAGAGGCUCAGUGGACAAACCUGACAAUUACAGAAUCUACGAAGAAGAAUGUCAGAAACAAGCCAAAACCAGAUGUUCAGACUUAAGAUAGCAGACAGUGGUGACUCAAUGGUUAAGGAUUUGGGUUACUGAGCAGAAGGUCUAAGGCUGAAGCCCCAGCACUGCCAGGAUACUGUACAGCAGUGAUGAUCAUGGAUGUUCCCUCUUCAGAUCUUCUAGUGGUCAAUUUCCAUGAGGGUCGCUGUGUGAACGCAAACCAGUUCAUAGCAUUCCCAAUAAAAAGUUAACUUUUCUAUAUAAUCAGUCACAUCACUUGGGACAUUAAACCUCCACAUCUACAGAGGUCCUCCACUGAACAUUAACUCACCAAUCAAAUGCUGCUUGUUUAUAAAACAAAAUGCUGGUCCAUGUGAUUUCUUUGCCUUUUUUUAAACACUGUUGUAUUACUGAACUUUUUUUUCACUGCUUUGAUGCCUUGUUUAACUGUUUCUCAAUUUGAUAUUUGGGCUAUUCAUGGAAUUACCAUUGUGACAUGAUAGAUAUUUCACUGCAUGCAAAAUGCAAAAUGGAGAAAGCAAUGAUUAUAUGAUUAUAUCAUCCUGUUCUAUAUAAUCCAGCUGUGAAAAAAUAUUAAAUCAACAUUAACAACUGGAUAGUAUCUGUACAAACAAAUUGUAUAUUUUUCCAUUGAUGUAUGAGUAGUGUGAUUGCAGCCUUAGGCUUUGAUUACUAAAUGAUUAAAAUGUUCAGCAUUAAAGAAAAA